UCGAACGGUAGCACGAAGGAGCUUGCUCCUUGGGUGACGAGUGGCGGACGGGUGAGUAAUGCUUGGGAAUCUGGCUUAUGGAGGGGGAUAACUACGGGAAACUGUAGCUAAUACCGCGUAAUAUCUUCGGAUUAAAGUGUGGGACCGUAAGGCCACAUGCCAUGAGAUGAGCCCAAGUGGGAUUAGGUAGUUGGUGGGGUAAAGGCCUACCAAGCCGACGAUCUCUAGCUGGUCUGAGAGGAUGACCAGCCACACUGGAACUGAGACACGGUCCAGACUCCUACGGGAGGCAGCAGUGGGGAAUAUUGCACAAUGGGGGGAACCCUGAUGCAGCCAUGCCGCGUGAAUGAAGAAGGCCUUCGGGUUGUAAAGUUCUUUCGGUAGCGAGGAAGGUGGUUGUUUUAAUAGAACAAUCAAUUGACGUUAACUACAGAA
This 435-nucleotide ribosomal RNA is filed under the name Actinobacillus equuli. RNAcentral's name for it is "bacterial SSU rRNA". It matches the Rfam family "Bacterial small subunit ribosomal RNA", at positions 62 to 486 of the family's 1533-position model. Lineage: Bacteria; Pseudomonadati; Pseudomonadota; Gammaproteobacteria; Pasteurellales; Pasteurellaceae. The record is from RNAcentral.